UACAGAGGUCUCAAGCGUUGUUCGGAUUCAUUGGGCGUAAAGGGUGCGUAGGCGGCGAGGCAAGUCUGGUGUGAAAUCCCGGGGCUCAACCCCGGAACUGCACUGGAUACUGCUUUGCUAGAGUACUGUAGAGGGAACUGGAAUUUACGGUGUAGCAGUGAAAUGCGUAGAUAUCGUAAGGAAGACCAGCGGCGAAGGCGAGUUCCUGGACAGUUACUGACGCUGAGGCACGAAGGCCAGGGUAGCAAACGGG
RNAcentral lists this ribosomal RNA (253 nucleotides) under uncultured bacterium. Its description in RNAcentral is "partial 16S ribosomal RNA". It matches the Rfam family "Bacterial small subunit ribosomal RNA", at positions 524 to 776 of the family's 1533-position model. The record is from RNAcentral.